UGGGGAAUAUUGCACAAUGGGCGCAAGCCUGAUGCAGCGACGUUGCGUGGAGGAUGAAGGUCUUCGGAUUGUAAACUCCUGUUAAGUGAGAAAAAAGCCUAUUCGCUAAUAUCGAAUGGGGAUGAUGUUAUCACUAGAGAAAGCACCGGCUAACUUCGUGCCAGCAGCCGCGGUAAUACGAAGGGUGCGAGCGUUAUUCGGAAUGACUGGGCGUAAAGGGUAUGUAGGCGGUAUUAUAAGUCAUCUGUAAAAUUCCUCAGCUUAACUGAGGGUAUGCGGGUGAAACUGUAGAACUGGAGUAUGGCAGAGAGGAGUGGAAUUCUCGGAGUAGCGGUAAAAUGCGUAGAUCUCGAGAGGAACACCGAAGGCGAAGGCAGCUCCUUGGGCCAAAACUGACGCU
This 400-nucleotide ribosomal RNA is filed under the name uncultured bacterium. RNAcentral describes it as "partial 16S ribosomal RNA". It matches the Rfam family "Bacterial small subunit ribosomal RNA", at positions 355 to 747 of the family's 1533-position model. The record is from RNAcentral.